Molecule: ribosomal RNA, 489 nt
Filed under: uncultured archaeon
Lineage: Archaea
Description: bacterial SSU rRNA
Rfam family: Archaeal small subunit ribosomal RNA
Source: RNAcentral
GAGGAAUUGGCGGGGGAGCACCGCAACGGGAGGAGCGUGCGGUUUAAUUGGAUUCAACACCGGAAAACUCACCAGCGGCGACUGUUACAUGAAAGUCAGGCCGAUGACCUUACUAGAUUUUCAGAGAGGUGGUGCAUGGCCGUCGUCAGUUCGUACCGUAAGGCGUUCUCUUAAGUGAGAUAACGAACGAGACCCUCACCAAUAGUUGCUACUCCAUCCUCCGGGGUGGAGGCACACUAUUGGGACCGCUGGCGCUAAGUCAGAGGAAGGAGAGGUCAACGGUAGGUCAGUAUGCCCCGAAUCUCUUGGGCUACACGCGCGCUACAAAGGGCGGGACAAUGGGCUCCGACGCCGAGAGGCGGAGGCAAUCCCGAAACCCGUCCGUAGUUCGGAUUGAGGGCUGUAACCCGCCCUCAUGAAGCUGGAUUCCGUAGUAAUCGCGAAUCAACAACUCGCGGUGAAUAUGCCCCUGCUCCUUGCACACACCGC